Molecule: ribosomal RNA, 371 nt
Filed under: uncultured organism
Description: bacterial SSU rRNA
Rfam family: Bacterial small subunit ribosomal RNA
Source: RNAcentral
CGUAGGGGGCAAGCGUUGUCCGGAAUCAUUGGGCGUAAAGCGCGUGUAGGCGGCCUUGUAAGUCCGUUCUGAAAGCCCGGGGCUCAACCCCGGGAGGCGGAUGGAUACUGCAAGGCUCGAGUACGGAAGAGGCGAGUGGAAUUCCCGGUGUAGCGGUGAAAUGCGCAGAUAUCGGGAGGAACACCAAUGGCGAAGGCAGCUCGCUGGGACGUUACUGACGCUGAGACGCGAAAGCGUGGGAGCAAACAGGAUUAGAUACCCUGGUAGUCCACGCCGUAAACGAUGGAUACUAGGUGUGGGAGGUGUCGACUCCUCCCGUGCCGAAGCUAACGCAUUAAGUAUCCCGCCUGGGGAGUACGGCCGCAAGGCUA